GUGGCUUCAGCACCAUAUAUACUACAACGGGAACAGUACAGAGAAGAUUAGCAUGGUCAGUGCGCAAGGAUGACACACAAACUCAUGAAGCAUUCCAUAUUUUU
Small nuclear RNA from Suncus etruscus (white-toothed pygmy shrew), 104 nucleotides. The record is from RefSeq and is a predicted model, not a curated record. Lineage: Eukaryota; Metazoa; Chordata; Mammalia; Eulipotyphla; Soricidae.